GGGGUUCUGGCCGAGUGGUUAAGGCGCUGUGUUUAGGUUAAUUACCAUCCGCAGUGGGAAACCGCGCAGGUUCGAAUCCUGCGGACCUCA
RNAcentral lists this transfer RNA (90 nucleotides) under Blumeria graminis f. sp. tritici. It matches the Rfam family "tRNA". Rfam says of the family: Transfer RNA (tRNA) molecules are approximately 80 nucleotides in length. Their secondary structure includes four short double-helical elements and three loops (D, anti-codon, and T loops). Further hydrogen bonds mediate the characteristic L-shaped molecular structure. tRNAs have two regions of fundamental functional importance: the anti-codon, which is responsible for specific mRNA codon recognition, and the 3' end, to which the tRNAs corresponding amino acid is attached (by aminoacyl-tRNA synthetases). tRNAs cope with the degeneracy of the genetic code in two manners: having more than one tRNA (with a specific anti-codon) for a particular amino acid; and 'wobble' base-pairing, i.e. permitting non-standard base-pairing at the 3rd anti-codon position. Lineage: Eukaryota; Fungi; Ascomycota; Leotiomycetes; Helotiales; Erysiphaceae. The record is from Rfam by way of RNAcentral. RNAcentral also lists the same sequence under 1 other name.